GAUGAACGCUAGCUACAGGCUUAACACAUGCAAGUCGAGGGGUAACGAGAGGAAAGCUUGCUUUCCUUGUUGACGACCGGCGCACGGGUGAGUAACGCGUAUCCAACCUGCCCCCAACUAGGGAAUAACCUUGCGAAAGUAAGACUAAUACCCUAUAAUUUCCUCAGAUGUCAUCUGACGAGGAGUAAAGAUUUAUCGGUUGUGGAUGGGGAUGCGUCUGAUUAGCUUGUUGGCGGGGUAACGGCCCACCAAGGCAACGAUCAGUAGGGGUUCUGAGAGGAAGGUCCGCCACAUUGGAACUGAAACACUGUCCAAACUCCUACGGGAGGCAGCAGUGAGGAAUAUUGGUCAAUGGCGGAAGCCUGAACCAGCCAAGUAGCGUGCAGGAUGACGGCCCUAUGGGUUGUAAACUGCUUUUAUACAGGAAUAAAGUUAGCCACGUGUGGUUAUUUGUAGGUACUGUAUGAAUAAGGACCGGCUAAUUCCGUGCCAGCCGCCGCCGUAA
This 505-nucleotide ribosomal RNA is filed under the name uncultured bacterium. RNAcentral describes it as "partial 16S ribosomal RNA". It matches the Rfam family "Bacterial small subunit ribosomal RNA", at positions 28 to 523 of the family's 1533-position model. The record is from RNAcentral.